GGAUUGCCUUAGUAACGGCGAGUGAAGCGGCAACAGCUCAAAUUUGAAAGCUGGCUCCUUUGGAGUCCGCGUUGUAAUUUGUAGAGGAUGAUUCGGCAAGGGCUCCCGCCUAAGUCUCCUGGAACGGAGCGUCAUAGAGGGUGAGAAUCCCGUAUGCGGUGGGCUGCCUAAGCCAUGUGAAUCUCCUUCGACGAGUCGAGUUGUUUGGGAAUGCAGCUCUAAAUGGGAGGUAAAUUUCUUCUAAAGCUAAAUACCGGCCAGAGACCGAUAGCGCACAAGUAGAGUGAUCGAAAGAUGAAAAGCACUUUGGAAAGAGAGUUAAAAAGUACGUGAAAUUGUUGAAAGGGAAGCGCUUGCAGCCAGACUUGUCCGCAGUUGCUCAGCCGGUCUCCUGACCGGUGUACUCUUCUGCGGCCAGGCCAGCAUCAGUUCGGGCGGUCGGAUAAAGACCUCGGGAAUGUAGCUCCUCUCGGGGAGUGUUAUAGCCCGGGGUGGAAUGCGGCCAGCCUGGACUGAGGAUCUCGCUUCGGCUAGGAUGCUGGCGUAAUGGCUGUAAGCGGCCCGUCUUGAAAC
Molecule: ribosomal RNA, 573 nt
Filed under: Botryosphaeria dothidea
Lineage: Eukaryota; Fungi; Ascomycota; Dothideomycetes; Botryosphaeriales; Botryosphaeriaceae
Description: partial large subunit ribosomal RNA
Rfam family: Eukaryotic large subunit ribosomal RNA
Source: RNAcentral